UUGAACGCUGGCGGCAGGCCUAACACAUGCAAGUCGAGCGGAUGAAGGGAGCUUGCUCCUGGAUUCAGCGGCGGACGGGUGAGUAAUGCCUAGGAAUCUGCCUGGUAGUGGGGGAUAACGUCCGGAAACGGGCGCUAAUACCGCAUACGUCCUGAGGGAGAAAGUGGGGGAUCUUCGGACCUCACGCUAUCAGAUGAGCCUAGGUCGGAUUAGCUAGUUGGUGGGGUAAAGGCCUACCAAGGCGACGAUCCGUAACUGGUCUGAGAGGAUGAUCAGUCACACUGGAACUGAGACACGGUCCAGGCUCCUACGGGAGGCAGCAGUGGGGAAUAUUGGACAAUGGGCGAAAGCCUGAUCCAGCCAUGCCGCGUGUGUGAAGAAGGUCUUCGGAUUGUAAAGCACUUUAAGUUGGGAGGAAGGGCAGUAAGUUAAUACCUUGCUGUUUUGACGUUACCAACAGAAUAAGCACCGGCUAACUUCGUG
Molecule: ribosomal RNA, 483 nt
Filed under: uncultured bacterium
Lineage: Bacteria
Description: partial 16S ribosomal RNA
Rfam family: Bacterial small subunit ribosomal RNA
Source: RNAcentral